RNAcentral lists this ribosomal RNA (1384 nucleotides) under uncultured bacterium. RNAcentral's name for it is "16S ribosomal RNA". It matches the Rfam family "Bacterial small subunit ribosomal RNA", at positions 8 to 1386 of the family's 1533-position model. The record is from RNAcentral.
AGAGUUUGAUCCUGGCUCAAGAUAAACUCUAGCUACAGGCUUAACACAUGCAAGUCGAGGGGCAGCAUGGUCUUAUCUUGCUAAGGCCGAUGGCGACCGGCGCACGGGUGAGUAACACGUAUCCAACCUGCCGUCUACUCUUGGACAGCCUUCUGAAAGGAAGAUUAAUACAAGAUGGCAUCAUGAGUCCACAUGUUCACAUGAUUAAAGGUAUUCCGGUAGACGAUGGGGAUGCGUUCCAUUAGAUAGUAGGCGGGGUAACGGCCCACCUAGUCUUCGAUGGGUAGGGGUUCUGAGAGGAAGGUCCCCCACAUUGGAACUGAGACACGGUCCAAACUCCUACGGGAGGCAGCAGUGAGGAAUAUUGGUCAAUGGGCGAGAGCCUGAACCAGCCAAGUAGCGUGAAGGAUGACUGCCCUAUGGGUUGUAAACUUCUUUUAUAAAGGAAUAAAGUCGGGUAUGGAUACCCGUUUGCAUGUACUUUAUGAAUAAGGAUCGGCUAACUCCGUGCCACCAGCCGCGGUAAUACGGAGGAUCCGAGCGUUAUCCGGAUUUAUUGGGUUUAAAGGGAGCGUAGAUGGAUGUUUAAGUCAGUUGUGAAAGUUUGCGGCUCAACCGUAAAAUUGCAGUUGAUAACUGGAUAUCUUGAGUGCAGUUGAGGCAGGCGGAAUUCGUGGUGUACCGGUGAAAUGCUUAGAUAUCACGAAGAACUCCGAUUGCGAAGGCAGCCUGCUAAGCUGCAACUGACAUUGAGGCUCGAAAGUGUGGGUAUCAAACAGGAUUAGAUACCCUGGUAGUCCACACGGUAAACGAUGAAUACUCGCUGUUUGCGAUAUACUGCAAGCGGCCAAGCGAAAGCGUUAAGUAUUCCACCUGGGGAGUACGCCGGCAACGGUGAAACUCAAAGGAAUUGACGGGGGCCCGCACAAGCGGAGGAACAUGUGGUUUAAUUCGAUGAUACGCGAGGAACCUUACCCGGGCUUAAAUUGCAGAUGAAUUACGGUGAAAGCCGUAAGCCGCAAGGCAUCUGUGAAGGUGCUGCAUGGUUGUCGUCAGCUCGUGCCGUGAGGUGUCGGCUUAAGUGCCAUAACGAGCGCAACCCUUGUUGUCAGUUACUAACAGGUUCUGCUGAGGACUCUGACAAGACUGCCAUCGUAAGAUGUGAGGAAGGUGGGGAUGACGUCAAAUCAGCACGGCCCUUACGUCCGGGGCUACACACGUGUUACAAUGGGGGGUACAGAGGGCCGCUACCACGCGAGUGGAUGCCAAUCCCAAAAACCUCUCUCAGUUCGGACUGGAGUCUGCAACCCGACUCCACGAAGCUGGAUUCGCUAGUAAUCGCGCAUCAGCCACGGCGCGGUGAAUACGUUCCCGGGCCUUGCAC